Molecule: long non-coding RNA, 547 nt
Organism: Panthera uncia (snow leopard)
Lineage: Eukaryota; Metazoa; Chordata; Mammalia; Carnivora; Felidae
Exons: 2
Source: RefSeq, a predicted model, not a curated record
CGAGGCGUGGACGCGUUGACGAGAGGCUGCCCCUCUGGGGGCUGCCGGUUAGUUAAGAAGCGCUGCGCGAUAAAUCAGUUAAGGCCCGAAUUUAGCUGUCCGCUGGUUUUGCUGAAGGCCAACUGAGGAUGUUUUGGCCUGGAAGUCCCAGGGUGUACACACUCUAAUAGAGUGAUGAAGCCUGCGCAGACUUGAGAGUUUUGGUGUGCAGUAAUUUUUCUCAUCGGCAGUAGAAGAAAAAGCCCUGUGAAGUUCAGUACUGUUUGCUGUAAAGAUUAUCAUUGAAGACACAGUUUUCUAGCUUAUAGGAUGUUACCUUGGAGUACCCACAGGAUAAAUUCUCCUGUCUGCACUAAGUCAUGUAACCUCCCCGAUCAGACACCGGGAAUGAGUUUCGUGUCCUCACUCUCUCUGGUAUAAUCUUAUUUUAUCUACACUCAUUUGUACUUACUUCCUACUUUCCCCAUUAACUUAAUUUUUAUCUUAUUUUUGGCAUUUUUGUAAAUUGCCUUAUGUUCUUUUUGGAAUACAAAUUUAUUUAAAUGGA